This 375-nucleotide ribosomal RNA is filed under the name uncultured eukaryote. Its description in RNAcentral is "partial 18S ribosomal RNA". It matches the Rfam family "Eukaryotic small subunit ribosomal RNA", at positions 592 to 976 of the family's 1831-position model. The record is from RNAcentral.
CAAUAGCGUAUAUUAAAGUUGUUGCAGUUAAAACGCUCGUAGUUGAAUUUUGGGCGUGGGGAGACGGUGCUCCCGCAAGGGGGUGACUGUGGACCUGGGCCUUUGUGUAGUGAAGACGGAUGCCCUUUGGUGGGUGUGCGUGGGAGCUACAGGUUUACUUUGAAAAAAUUAGAGUGUUUAAGGCAGGCAUUGCUUGAAUAGUUCAGCAUGGAAUAAUGGAAUAGGUCUUUGACUCUAUUUUGUUGGUUUCUAGAGUUGAGGAAAUGAUGAAUAGGGACAGUUGGGGGCAUUCGUAUUUCGUUGUCAGAGGUGAAAUUCUUGGAUUGACGAAAGACGAACUUGUGCGAAAGCAUUUGCCAAGGAUGUUUUCAUUAA